RNAcentral lists this small RNA (21 nucleotides) under Karenia brevis. RNAcentral's name for it is "trans-spliced leader sequence SL". Lineage: Eukaryota; Dinophyceae; Gymnodiniales; Kareniaceae. The record is from RNAcentral.
CCGUAGCCCUUUUAGCUGAAG